This 715-nucleotide long non-coding RNA is filed under the name Pan troglodytes (chimpanzee). RNAcentral's name for it is "long non-coding RNA NONPTRT017050". Lineage: Eukaryota; Metazoa; Chordata; Mammalia; Primates; Hominidae. The record is from RNAcentral.
UCACGAUGAGGCAAAGCUCCUAGUGACUUUAAAUUUCCAGAUAGACCAUACAACAUCACGAAUCUCCUGAGGAAUCAUUAAUCAUUACUAGAGAAACAGAAACGUCAUAAACCCUGUCCAAAGCUGGACACCAGACAUGGAGUUGCCACCGUUAGAGCUAAAUUUUAUUCUUGGCUUUCUGAUACCUAAAGUAUAUUCAGAAGUUUUUUUUUUUUUUUUUACAACAGCCUGUUUUGUUUUUAAACAUCAUAAAAUGUUUAGAAAUAUAAUUUCUCCUAUGUAAUGAAACUAAUAUACUGAAUUUUAUAGGUACAGUAAAGGAGAAUGAAAAUUAUAAAUGUAGGCCGGGCGCGGUGGCUCACGCCUGUAAUCCCAGCACUCUGGGAGGCUGAGGCGGGUGGGCACCUGUAAUCCCAGCUACUCUGGAGGCUGAGGCAGGAGAAUUGCUUGAACCCGGGAGGCAGAGGCUGCAGUGAACCGAGAUCGUGCCACGGCACUACAGCCUGGGUGACGGAACGAGGCUCCGUCUCGGGGGAAAAAAAAAGUCAGAAGUAAAACUCCCCUCUAAAAGCCUGGGGCCUUUCCAACCCAGAUAGAGAAAAAAUAUCUGGGUAGGUGGAUGGGUAGGAGAUUAGGACUGGGGCUGUAAAUAGAAAAUGAAAAUGAAAACCUCUCAUCUCACAGAACAAAAUUCAUUCAGUGAGUAGUUCACAGA